This is a long non-coding RNA of Calidris pugnax (ruff), 333 nucleotides long. RefSeq lists it as uncharacterized. The record is from RefSeq and is a predicted model, not a curated record. Lineage: Eukaryota; Metazoa; Chordata; Aves; Charadriiformes; Scolopacidae. The transcript is spliced from 3 exons.
CCUGAGAGACCCCGCCAGGGCUGCGGCCGGGGGCGGCUUAAAAAAGGGCAAACUGAGCAAAAAGUCAACAUCAGGGAAGAUCAGGCAUUGUGAAAAUGGAAUUUUUGAGCCACUCUUUGGAGCAAAGGUUCAUGUAAAACCAAAAGGCAAAACUAAAUCAGGCAGAAAACCUCUUUCCCUACUGAAAAGGCCAUUAGGUGGAGUUUUCCAGCUUUGAAGUCCGCAGUAUAUUCUGGCCCAUGAAACAGAAUUAAGAUGGAGCAUCCUAUAGAAUAACAGACUUUCUCAAACCCUUUAUGUGUAGGAUAGACAGAAGUUUCUUGAAAUGUUUUA